AGGACGAACGCUGGCGGCGUGCUUAACACAUGCAAGUCGAGCGGAAAGGCCCUUCGGGGUACUCGAGCGGCGAACGGGUGAGUAACACGUGAGCAACCUGCCCUCAGCUCUGGGAUAGCUCCCGGAAACGGGAAUUAAUACCGGAUACGACCCCAACUGACAUCGGUCAGGGGUGGAAAGGAUUCCGGCUGAGGAUGGACUCGCGGCCUAUCAGCUAGUUGGUGAGUAACGGCCCACAAGGCGACGACGGGUA
This 253-nucleotide ribosomal RNA is filed under the name uncultured bacterium. Its description in RNAcentral is "partial small subunit ribosomal RNA". It matches the Rfam family "Bacterial small subunit ribosomal RNA", at positions 26 to 285 of the family's 1533-position model. The record is from RNAcentral.